CCUACGUGAGGCAGCAGUGAGGAAUAUUGGUCAAUGGGCGCAGGCCUGAACCAGCCAAGUCGCGUGAGGGAAGACUGCCCUAUGGGUUGUAAACCUCUUUUAUAAGGGAAGAAUAAUGACUACGUGUAGUCAGCUGCCAGUAACUUAUGAAUAAGCAUCGGCUAACUCCGUGCCAGCAGCCGCGGUAAUACGGAGGAUGAGAGCGUUAUCCUGAGUUAUUGGGGUUAAAGGGUGCGUAGGCGGGAUUUUAAGUGAUUGGUAAAACGUCGGGGCUUCACCUUGAGUGGCCAUUAAAACUGGAGUACUAGAGGAAAGACGAGGUAGGCGGAAUAAGUUAAGUAGCGGUGAAAUGCUUAGAUAUAACUUAGAACCCCGAUAGCGAAGGCAGCUUACCAGACUGUUACUGACGCUGAAGCACGAGAGCGUGGGUAGCGAACAGGAUAGAUACCCGUGUAGUC
RNAcentral lists this ribosomal RNA (458 nucleotides) under uncultured bacterium. Its description in RNAcentral is "partial 16S ribosomal RNA". It matches the Rfam family "Bacterial small subunit ribosomal RNA", at positions 338 to 795 of the family's 1533-position model. The record is from RNAcentral.